CAAAUGUGCGCGUGCGUUCUGUGGUGCCGUGCGAAAUGUCGGUCUUAGUGUUAUUGCUUGUUUCGACAGCGGCGCAUGGACUUAGCGAUGAGGAGUACUCGAGGUUCCCGCGUCUAUUUCACCUGGAUGACUAUGACACCUGCCUCUCCCAGCCUGGUGGCCUCUAUUGUGUGGGCAGUUUCCACAUUACACCAGUCACUCCAGAACACCCGACUUAUGAGUUAAUGAAGGAGUACUCUGAACAUCCUUCGAACUUCAACCGGACGGUACUUUACCGCGGCUACUGUGUCAGCUCGCGAUGUGGCACUGCGUCAGAAACAAACACUUCACUGCGCUUCGAACAAUGUGCCAAUCGUUGGGGGGAAAAGUAUGCGUUCCGACUCUCGCUUCAAAAGCUCCAGUACUGCAGAUCGUUUGCCCAGGAGUUUGCAAGGAAAAAUACACAGGAGCCGAUGGAUGAACCGCAAAAGAUAUUCCUGUCCGUCGUUUGUGCCUUAUUGUUCUUCAAUUUCAUAGGAACUGCUUAUGACUUGCUACUUGGCGACGAAAGAAAAAAGAGCAAACAUUUAGUGUCGUGGUCCUUGCGCUCUAAUUGGAAUCGUCUGAUAGCUACCUAUGAGGAUGGCGACCCACGGCUCUCGGCUCUUAACCCUGUCCAGGGUGUGAGGGUGUUCCUGAUGUCUCUGACAAUACUGACCCACAGCGGCGUUAUACGUGGCUCCUUUUAUGUAUUCAACCCUCGAUUUAUUGAGGAGAUAGUCAAGUCUCCGCUACUGAUGUUGUUUUUCAAUGGCACAACUUUAAUCCAAUUCUUCUUGGUGAUGUCCAACUUCCUGCUCGCCUACAACCUGCUGCUUGCUUCAAAAACUCACGAGCUCAAACUCAAGCACCUCCCGUUGUGUAUUUUGAAACGUAUCGCUAGGAUAGCCCCAGUCUAUCUACUAGUGGUGGGAUACUCGGCAACAUGGUGGCCUUACGCCCGCAGCGGGCCCCUGUGGCCUACUCUGGUGGAGGCCGAGAGCGCCGUCUGCAGGAAGAAGUUUUGGUUCCAAGCGUUCUUUAUUAAUAACUUGGUUCAAGCUGAGGAGCAUUGUUUGGUGCAGACGUGGUUCCUAGCGGUGGAUAUGCAGCUGUAUAUCCUGGGCUCGGCUCUAACGCUGUAUCUGGCUUCUCGUCGCGACAUUGCCCUUAAAGUCCUGGGAGCACUUUUUGUAUCAUCAUUACUGCUCAACGCCGGACUUGCGUAUGCUUUUGAUUGGCAAGCUCUCGUGUACUUUGCUACGCCUGAGAACAUCCGCAAUAUGUACCUGAACGUCCCCUCGUUCUCCCGGCUGUACACGUCGCCGUGGGGCAGCCUGCCCGCUUGCUUCAUCGGUCUCUUUUUGGCACAUGUUCAUUUCGAACUUCAGGAGAAAGGACUUAAGAAGAGGGACAUUUCCUUUGUUGUGAACAUACUGUACCAGCUGGCUCCCCUGGUCCUGGUGUUCUGGGUGCUGUCGGGCACGUGGCUACGCGAGUUCAGCACGCGCGGCUUCGUUGCGUUCUACGUGGCCCUUGAGCGAAUGGUCUUCAGCUGCUUCUGUGCUUUGAUACUCUUUGGAAUGUUCAAUGGAGGAUCGAAUAUACUGAAGGAGUUUAGUGCGUGGCGCGGCUGGCACGCCAUGGGCCGCAUGUCUCUGUCGGUGCUGAUGCUGCACUGGUGUGUCAACACGAUAAUAGCACACUCUAGGCUGCAGCCGUCCACCACCACCGUUCUAGACGUGUUCGCAGAUUUUGCUGCGACGGGUUUCUACACGUAUUUGCUGGCCAUCCCUCUCACUCUUCUCGUGGAAAUGCCGAUCCAGAGGUUCAUAUCGGGACUCAUCUUGUGAUACAAUUUUAACUUUAAAAUACGCUUAAGAUUAGUAAAUGUUAAGUACAAUGUUAUGAAAGCAAACCCGAUGUAUUUAGACAUUUAAUUCAGAAUUUCCAUCUUUAGUCUCCGAAGUAAUAUUAUUUAUAGCCUGGCGGACAACACACUUUUUGGGUGCUGUGGUCUGGUUCGUCAGUAGCCUGAGCGGCGGGAUGCUUCCUGUCUUAUUGUUGUAUUAUGAUUACUGUCAUUAGAUUCUUCUCGAUUGCGGUAGACAGGUGCAAUAUGUGUGGGUGUUCCGUAAUGUGUCCCGCAAUGGGUAUUUCAAGCUGUAUCGUAGCUAUAAUCUCAACAAUGUAGAUCACGUUAAUAAUUGUAAACAAAUUAUCUAAGUCCUAUUUAGUAGUUUUAAACAAAAAUAAUGUAUUAAUAGUUUGAGUUAGGAUGAAAAUUCAGUAGGAAUAUGUUUCAAAAUAGCGCCUGACAUUAUCCGGAGGCGCGGAGUGAUUGUACUUUUUGUAAAUCGGUUUUCCUGCAGUGGCGUGACGUCACGACUAUACUGUCGCACGGGUCUUUGACGAGAUUCGUGAUGUCACAGAUUUGUGCUCAAGUAUGUAUUUGUAGUUAGUAGCAAUGGCGAUAUGAACGGUACCUAAUAUAUGUAUAUGUUUUAUUAAUCUUACAUUAGUGUUAUGACUUGAUAUUUAAGUUAUAUAUUUGCGAUUGAAUUAAUAAAGUUAUAA
This is an unclassified non-coding RNA of Bombyx mandarina (wild silkworm), 2595 nucleotides long. NCBI's taxonomy places the organism in Eukaryota, Metazoa, Arthropoda, Insecta, Lepidoptera, Bombycidae. The record is from RefSeq and is a predicted model, not a curated record.